GUCAUUAGGAUAGCACAUAAGGAAUUCCCUGUCAUUUCAGUAAGUUCUGUCAUGUCCUGAUAGGCUCUGUGUUGCCGGUCAUACUGCCAUGCUAAUGCCAGGGAGGUCGUGGUUGACCGUAGUUUACAGAUCAUGAGGAAUGGGCUAAUUGGACUUGGUAAGAGUUUGUUUUAAAUGAUUUUAAUUUAAUUUAAUGUUUAGGAUAAAGACUAAUGUUCUAGUAAGUUUUUGAGUUUUUAAAAAAUAUUUCGCAUGGUAUUUAUUUAUUUUUGUGUUCAGCAUGUUCCGUCCUCUACUGACAGCUCUCUAAUUCUGUUUGUUGUAUCUUUGAGUGAAUUUAUGUGAAAUGGACUAAAAUAAAAGGGAAAGCAUUGGCACUGAACAGGCAACUUCUGUUUUAUUGAAGUCUCCCUUUUUAUUCUUUCUUCUUGAUAUGAUUGUAACUGCAGUAAAGAAACGUACUCGCCUUUACAUGGGCAACCGGGUAGAGCUUCAACACCCCUGAAAGCACAGGUAGGUGAGAAGGCUGAAGCUCCCGCUCUGAGAAAUGAAUGGCGACGUGCAGCUCCAGGUCCUGAGCACUGAGGCUGGGAGACACGCAGACGUGGAAGUAGGAACCAGAGGGGAGCCCGGGCUGAGCGGUGGGAUGGGACUGCCACAUCGCUCAGAUGCCUUUUCCCAUGGAAACUGCUUUGUGUUCGGUCCAACGAAGCUCCUCCUGCCUGGGCAGCAGGAGGCCAUGGGCCCCUGGCUUACGGCUAUAUCCCCAGCACUUGGAGCUGUGGCUAGCACGUUAGGCACUUGAUACCUACCAGUUGAAUAAAUGAACACAUAUGUCCCCUCUGUCUCGAAGAUACAGCCAAGAAGUAUAAAGGUAUCAACUUUACCUAAAGUUGAUGAUUUGUAUUUCUGGGGACCCACAGACUUGCUACAAUAACUAGCUUAUUAAGCCUCUGACUUUCCCAGGAAUGAAUACCCUCAUCAAAAAAAAAAAAAAUUUAAUACCCUCACAGGUGGUUCUUCAGAGACAAAACUUGUAAACGACAAUAGUAUUACCAAACCUUGUGGGAGCUCAGAGAAGAGAGCAUGAAGUAUGUAUGGAGGAGUUGUUAUUUAACACGAUGUUAAGUCUGAGGAGUUUACUGGAUGAAGAUGAGGAAGGGCAUCAUGGGUAGAGAAAACAAGGUGUUGCAAAGGAAACAGCAUCAGUGAACUUGGCCCUGGGUGGGGGGAGGUGCAAGAAAGGCUGGGGAGGAAAUCAAGCCAGUGGUGUCAGCCUGGGAAGGACCAUGCUAUCACAUGUGAACUUCCUUAAGGUACCAGGAAGGAAGUUGCAGAAGAGUUGUUGGUGGCAAGGGGAUAGAUUCAGAUACUGAGUGAUUUCUGUGUAAUCCCUAAGAGGGCUGGGAAUGUGCCGCUGUCCUGACAGGCAGACGGCCAGUGGACUUCCAUAUCCCAGUUAAUGAGAACCAGUAACGUGGCCACACAAGGAACUUCUGAGCAGCUCAUUUGCCUCCAUAGAAAGUAUGUGACAUAAAAGACAUUAUUUUAAUAAUGUGUGAGGCAAUAUUGGGUGUUGGGGAUAUAAAGAUGACUAAAAUGGAAAGACAAAUAAUUAUGAAUGAAGACAGAGG
RNAcentral lists this long non-coding RNA (1634 nucleotides) under Ailuropoda melanoleuca (giant panda). Its description in RNAcentral is "lncRNA (ENSAMEG00000027385.1)". Lineage: Eukaryota; Metazoa; Chordata; Mammalia; Carnivora; Ursidae. The record is from RNAcentral.